This 251-nucleotide ribosomal RNA is filed under the name uncultured prokaryote. RNAcentral describes it as "partial 16S ribosomal RNA". It matches the Rfam family "Bacterial small subunit ribosomal RNA", at positions 525 to 775 of the family's 1533-position model. The record is from RNAcentral.
ACGGAGGUUGCAAGCGUUGUUCGGAAUGACUGGGCGUAAAGGGAGCGCAGGCGGUUUGAUAAGUCUGGAGUGAAAGCCCGGGGCUCAACCCCGGCGGGUCUUUGGAUACUGUCAAGCUAGAGUACGGAAGAGGAGAGUGGAAUUCCAGGUGUAGCGGUGAAAUGCGUAGAUAUCUGGAGGAACACCGGUGGCGAAAGCGGCUCUCUGGUCCGAUACUGACGCUCAUGCUCGAAAGCGUGGGGAGCAAACGG